Molecule: ribosomal RNA, 496 nt
Filed under: uncultured bacterium
Lineage: Bacteria
Description: partial 16S ribosomal RNA
Rfam family: Bacterial small subunit ribosomal RNA
Source: RNAcentral
AUUGAACGCUGGCGGAAUGCUUUACACAUGCAAGUCGAACGGUAGAGGGGGCAACCCCUCGAGAGUGGCGAACGGGUGAGUAAUAUAUCGGAACGUGCCCAGUCGUGGGGGAUAACGUAGCGAAAGUUACGCUAAUACCGCAUACGAUCUAAGGAUGAAAGCGGGGGAUCGCAAGACCUCGCGCGAUUGGAGCGGCCGAUAUCAGAUUAGGUAGUUGGUGGGGUAAAGGCUCACCAAGCCAACGAUCUGUAGCUGGUCUGAGAGGACGACCAGCCACACUGGAACUGAGACACGGUCCAGAGUCCUACGGGAGGCAGCAGUGGGGAAUUUUGGACAAUGGACGCAAGUCUGAUCCAGCCAUUCCGGGUGCAGGAUGAAGGCCCUCGGGUUGUAAACUGCUUUUGUACGGAACGAAAAGGUCUCUCUUAAUACGGGGGGCUCAUGACGGUACCGUAAGAAUAAGCACCGGCUAACUACGUGCCAGCAGCCGCCGUAA